This 471-nucleotide ribosomal RNA is filed under the name uncultured organism. RNAcentral describes it as "partial 16S ribosomal RNA". It matches the Rfam family "Bacterial small subunit ribosomal RNA", at positions 333 to 796 of the family's 1533-position model. The record is from RNAcentral.
ACACUCCUACGGGAGGCAGCAGUGGGGAAUUUUGGACAAUGGGCGAAAGCCUGAUCCAGCCAUGCCGCGUGCAGGAUGAAGGCCUUCGGGUUGUAAACUGCUUUUGUACGGAACGAAACGGCCUUUUCUAAUAAAGAGGGCUAAUGACGGUACCGUAAGAAUAAGCACCGGCUAACUACGUGCCAGCAGCCGCGGUAAUACGUAGGGUGCAAGCGUUAAUCGGAAUUACUGGGCGUAAAGCGUGCGCAGGCGGUUAUGUAAGACAGUUGUGAAAUCCCCGGGCUCAACCUGGGAACUGCAUCUGUGACUGCAUAGCUAGAGUACGGUAGAGGGGGAUGGAAUUCCGCGUGUAGCAGUGAAAUGCGUAGAUAUGCGGAGGAACACCGAUGGCGAAGGCAAUCCCCUGGACCUGUACUGACGCUCAUGCACGAAAGCGUGGGGAGCAAACAGGAUUAGAUACCCCAGUAGUCC